CUGUGCCCGGAGCCGAGGGACCUUCCCGUCCCCGUCUCGCCUUGGCACCGAGCGGAGAUUCCGGAGUGCCGUGGGCAGAGCAGCUCCUCUCCGCCGUUGUCUGUGCGCUCUGGUGUGGGGCGGCGGGCUGGGGCACCUCAGUACCGGGGGGAGGCCGCGGCGGUGCCCAGGGAAGAGCAGUUUGUGCUAUGGCCGCAGCACAGCACUGAUAGCGCGUCCCGGAACGGCCGCUGCCCAGCUCCCUGAUCUCAGUAGUGAUUUUUUUCCGGACCUCAACAAUUUAAACUAAAAUGUUCAUCGCAGACAAAGUCCUCGCGCCAGAGUAAAUGGUUACGGACUGGUCCUCCCUUGCAAUACCACGGCUUGUGGGAGCUUCUGUGGCUGCAGUUGCAGGAGGGGAAGGACGUUUUCUCAGAAGAUUGAGACAAGCUAAACCUGCAGCUGCUGAUGUUCCUGAGAGUUUCUGGUUGCAAGAGCUACUCAUGGACUGCGUGUCAGCCAGCACUGAAUACCACACUUGGAGGUACACCUGAGUGAGCCUCAGGCUCAUAGCCCAGGUAUCAAUAUCGCUAUGGCCAGGACAGUAGGUCUGGUGCCUCAGCUGGCAAGGUUCAGUGACCCAGAAGGGCCAUUCCCCACUUGUGUAUGAGCUGCAGCUAUGUUAACAAUACCUUUACUACAUACACUCCCCUCUGACUGCAAUGCCUCAAGCCUCAGGACUUUUACUUUUCCAGUAAGAGAUGUGGUUUUCCCAUCUCUGGGCAGGCCCUAGCUCCAACACACUGUGAUUAUCUGAUGGUUCCUGCCAGCAAUUCUCCUUCAGAAAUUUAUGCUACAGGCAUUAAAAAUUAAAAGCGGAUGGCUUUCUGAAGAGCAGUGGCUUAUUGGUAGUAAUACUUGUAGAGGCAUGUAGAGGAAAACUUUGUAAAAUAGUGCAUGCAUGUCUACCAAAGUAGUCACCAACUCAGAUCUGACUUCUUCAAACACCCAGUGUGGCCUACAGCCACCAGUCCCUGACUCUAAUCCAUCAGCACUCCUGAAACAGGUCUAAGAUUCCUGUCUCCUCUAUUCCUGGGCUUUUUAUUCCUGCAGUUCUAAAUCUACUUGCUGGACUCAGCAAGAGGCAGACCCACUUUAUGUAGAAGCAAAGCAGGCAUGCCUUUGGUAGUCUGUAGUUUAGUCUAACCUAUGAGGGGUGAAAUAUCUCGAUAUUUAACCCAGGAUGGUCUCACAGGGCAGAAUUCAUCUCAGAUACCCGCCAUGUUUACAAUGCCUGUGUCCGCCUUUGAGCAUCAACUUCAGGCUCCUUUUCUAUUCACUGAAGCUCUAGACAUAUUCUUGUACUCGAAACAUCUGUGUUAGAAUAGCAUUAAUCCUAGAAAUGGUAGUCUCAGGAAGUCUGGAUGACUCCAUUAUAUGUGCCUAUCUACAACUGACCCUGUGGAUGCUCCCCACAUGGCAUGGCUCAAUAACUACAUAAAUACAUUGUAUCCAGGCAGGGUUACUGAGUUGCCCUACUUCUGUCAUAUUUUAUGUGUAUUAAUCACAAGCACAGCACACACUCCAGAAGCCCAUAUGACUCUGAGUUUCUGACUUAAAGCUCAUGUUACCUGACACAAGACAAUGAGCAGCCAGGUCAGACUAUUUUUAACCAGAGGACAUUGUAGAUUGCAUAGGUGCACAGGAGUUAGAUCAAAUUUUCAUUUUCCUACCAUAUGCACAGAGGCAUAGUGGAGUUUGCAUAGGUAAUUAUCUUGUGUGAGGAUUUUUCCUUUCAAAAUGAAAUAUAACAGGCUAAUAGAUGAACAGAAACAACUGUGAAUUUGACCAAACAACUUCCAAUCUCGGAUGCCCAAAGCUAGGUUGCUCAAUCAAAUAUUAAAGACAAUAAAGAGUUAUCUGAGCUGGUUGUAAACCCAGAAGCCUUUCUCUUUGCCUGUCUCGAGUCACCACACAGGUGGGGUGCAGAGGCUGGGGUGGAUGUGGCUGUAAACCUAUUGCAUCACAGGAGUUCUUUAAAAUCCUCCUGUAGGGAGAAGCUGGCAUGAGUUGAAGGCAGGUUAUACAAGUGUAUCAUGCAGUUUGGUGUAUUCUUUCAACUGAAGCAAUCUAAUUUUUAAAUUUGACUGCAAAGUAAGAUGAGCCCUUUGUAACACAAUGACAUAUUUUCACUGCCAGUUUCCUCCUCAGCUUCUAGCUGGCACUUUGCCUUGCCUUGCGGGAGAAAACCCCACAAGAUUAUGUAGGAUGUUGUUGAGAGCACUUCAAAAUCAAAGCAGACAAGAUACUGGAAUCCUGUUCUGCAAUGUGGUGGAACUGCUGGGCCACAUUUUUUCUAAUACGCCUGGAGCAUAGAAAUUCUGCAAAUAAUGCAACUCCAGGUCAAUGCUAGCUGAGUCAUGGGGAGAAUUUCAUGGGGAGAAGGGUAAACCCUUAGGUUUGCUGAACAGAGAGGGUUGGAACAAGGGACUGGAAUUCAGAUCCCAGAUUUUCUGUCUGAAAUAUCCUGAACUUAUGGACUUUCCUCACAGAAAGGGACACUGACAACCUGGUUCGACUCUUGACACACCUAGGCCAGUGACUCAUCUAUUUCAAGUCAGGGUCCUGCUGCAGAGCUGAAAUAGGUGGGCUGUACUAGCCCCAGCUCUUGAAGCAAACUGAACAGCACCAGGGCACAGGGACUGUCCACACCAAUAAAUCAUCUAUACUGUCCCUGGCAAAGGUUUGAUUCAUGCUAGUUUUCUGCCCAGUAGGAACCCACACCUGGGGUUUUUUUAGGCUUUGGUUUUCUGUUUGUUGUUUUGGGAUUUUUUGUUUCGUUAUGUUUUUGUUUGUUUGUUUGUUUUUGUUUUGUUUUGGGGUUUUAAUUUUUUUUUAUUUGGUUUAGUUCAGUUUGUUAGUUUUGUUUUGUUCUGUUUUUUGUUUUUGUUUUUUUUUUGGUGGAGAAGAAAGUUUUAGAAAUUAUUUGUAUUAGAAAGAAAAGGGGUCUGAUUUCUGCACAGACCACAUGUAUGCAGACAGCCCCAGGAAAGGAGAGGUUUGCAGUGGUGGCUGCUGCUGUUGUUCCUCAUCCAUUGCUCUGCCACAGCAGCAGCAACAGAACUGGCUACAGCCUUGUUGAAAGCAACAGUAAUAGAAAGAGCAGGAAGAGGAUUCACAGAAGAAUCAUGGUGCAUGGAAAGGAAAAUUAAAAGGCAGGAUAGAGUCUUGUUCCCCAAAAGAGAUAUGAAUGCUCUCCUGCAUUUCAUGCUCACCAUUAAAAUGAGGGGCAUUUGGAUUUGACAGAAACCAUCUGGAUUUCAGGCUGUCUGUCAUGUGUCUGGGACUACUAACAGUCUGUUUACAGCAUGCCAUUCAGGGAAAAAUAAGGCCAGGCUCACUGAAAGGAAUGGUAUGUUCCUGGCAUGGAAUAGAAGGUAAUGUACAAAGCAAUUGGUACUGUUCUUCAUAUCUCUGCAUCCAUCUCAUUCAUGCAAUGAAAGUUAGGUAUGUAGGUUUGAUGUUUUGGCUAAUUAAUUUGCUGCUUUUUCUUAUUUGAAGUUUCAACUGUCAUAGUAUUCAUGCAGCUGUAACUUUGCUUUCAGGUUCCAAUAGAGUCAGUACUUCAGUUAUCCAUUUCUGAUCUCAUAGAUCCAAGAGACAUAGUGUACAAAAGCUGAAACUCCAAAGAAAGGGUCUAAUAAUCUCAGCUCUGCAGUGUACUGUAAGGAAAAAACAUUUAAACAUACAUACCCUUAAGCUGAGACUGCUAGGAAGCAGUCUAAUUUUGAUGUGUAUUGUUGAGUGAAAUAUUUGUGAGUAACUUAGAAAAGUGGAAGAAGUUAUACAACAUCAAGAGACAAAGCAGCCCUUCUUGGCACUUCCACUGUGUCAUAAGCUGCUAGUACCAGCUGCUAAAAUGCAGAUAUUUAUGAGAAAUUUCCAAUAUUGGUCUAUAUAAAGCAGAAAAAACCCCAACAAAACACCAAAAAAUCAAACCAUACCAACCAACCUACCAAAUAGCGAACCAACCAAAAAAACACAAAAAAAUGUUAUUGAUGCUGUCACUGCAGAGAUGUUGCUAACACUAAUUUAAAAAAAAAAAGGGCUGUCCCUUCUUAUCAUAAAAUUUAGGUAAGUUUUUGGACACUGCUCCUGCUUUCAAUACCGAUUUGUGGGUCUAAUUUAUGAUCAGAUCAAAUAGGAGCCAUUGAAAGAACUGAUAAAACAAACAUACUGAAACAAUAGAUCCCUGUGUUAGAGAUAUCUAGGUGGAGAUUGACACUUCAGUAAUAAAGGAAAAGAAAAUGAGCCUCUAUCUCCAAGUAAGAGAGAAAACCCAAAAAACUCUGAAGCAGAUGAAGUCCUGGCUGCUUGAACUGGGCAAGCACUUAGCACAGGGGUGCAGUUCACCUCUCUGGCUAUAGCUGCUGGCUGCACAGAGGGCUGUCUUUCACCUGGUGCUCAUAGCCAGGAGAAGAUCACUUGCAGGGUGCCCACCAGCACCUCAUUUGAUGUGAGAUGAAACGAGCCCCUUUAAAAUGAGGAUCAGCUAAUGCUACUGUACAGAUACAGAACAUCUGCUGUACCAAGAGAUGGAGUCCCUUAAAUCCAGCUGCAGCCAAAAUGCUUCUCCUUGACUGCCAUUUACUGCUGUGCUUCCUUGUGCAUCACAUCAUUCGCCAAGUCUGCAAACUGCUGACACUACCACAUGGCAUUAACCUGACUGUGCAGAAGCUGUGGAGGGUUUAUGAUGCUAGAUCAAUACAAUUUUUUUUUGCCUAUUUAAAAAAUCAUAUUAAAGUUAUUAUUUCUUCUCCAUUGCCUUAGUCGCAAAUCCACAUUUUCAUCAAACCCUACUCAGUAGUCUAUUUGAGCACGUGCUAACACUGGAUAGCAAUACAUUAAAGCAACAGACAUUAAUUUUAAGAGUCUCAGUGUGCCUGGAUUACUAAAGUCCUCCUGCCAUGGAGUUUGGUCAUGAGCAUCCACAUGACACAUAUCCACUGUCCCCCACCCACCACAGACCACCCAUCACUCCUUAGCACCCUGCAACAGCAAUAAGACUGCAGUGCAAGAGUCCAAAAAACCUACAGUGUGUUCCAGCAGCAUCUUGGGAGAGACCAAGGAUGCUGGCAGUGUUUCCAUUCUCCAGAAAAAACAGGGAUUUGCUAUAUGAAACGUCCAGAUAGCAUCAGAAAUAGGUGUAAAAAAUCUCACGUUAUACGGGAAAACAGAAGAAACCAAGCCAAAGUCAACAGAUGCAGAUGGUUGGAACCUGAGGGAAAAACCUCCUUCCUUAUCUACUUUUGGUGAUGGAUGUUGCUUUGAGGAUGUCUGACAAACAAAGAAAUUAAACACAUAGAGCUGGUGUAAAUAUGCAUAACUGCUUUCAAACAUUUCCAAGCAGUGUAUGCAUUUGCGUGAUCUCAGCAUGGGCAGCCUUGGCAGAGAGUAGAAGAAGAACAGAAGAUGAUCAAAAAGGGGUUUACAAGAGAGGCAAGGCAGUCAGUUCCUAGAGACAUUAAAAAAUUGGAAGAAUGAAGUGUUUAGGAAACAGCAAUUUUGGGGGAAAUGCCUCAUGGGACUGUGGGUCCAAAAGGAAGGGGAUUCUUGUAGAAGUGUGAGAGGAAGGAGGAAGAGAAAGUUUCUUAAUGUGAAGAGAUGGGGAUGGAGAUGAAAGGAUUGAGGGAGCACAGGGGGUUCAGCAGUAGCAAUUACAAAGAAAGAUGGGAGGCAGAUAAUAAGGGAAGUGUCAGAACUGGUGAUAGACACUCUGGAUAAGGAAAAAAUAUGGAAAAAUAAAUCAAAAUAAUAAAAAAGCUAGUUAGGUCACUGGGGCAGUGGCAGGCAACAUUUUUCGGAGUGUUUUGAAGUGGCGCGUUAGCAGGCUCUUUUCCAGAGGCUUCCUCUGUAGAAAGUGCAAAGAGACGGGCUCCUCCAGGGAGCAUAUCAAAGCAAGAGUUUCUUUCUGAAAAACCUGUCUCCUUCAGCAGGGAGCCAAGCUGCAUAACCGAAGUAUCCUACAUGGUACACCUAAAGCAAACACAUAUCAAAAUAACAUCAACUAGAACAUGUAAUCUGAGCUAGUUUGGAUAGCAGGUAGUGGAAAAAAGAGGGGAAACAACAGAAACAAAAUACAGAAGUUCAGAAAAAUUGACUCAGAAAAAAAAUCGAUUUUUUGUUCAUCAUUCUGGUGAACAUUUGACAGCCUUUUCUCAUACAUUAACUGCAAGUAAGCAAACUGGUUGAAUUGUAAUUUUGUUGAUGCAGAAUUGAACACUUUAAAUAAACAAAAGAUCCCAAAGCCAUGGGAAUAAAGUUCAAACAUGUAACUUAUUUAUCCAUUUGAGUUAAAGAAGUAAAAUCUGUACCACAAUUUUAUUCCCAUACUAAUUGUUCUUGUGAGCAAGUAUUUAUGUAUGCUACAUCUCACUGCAGGGACAGUCCAUAAAUACAUUUUGAAAUUUGUUCUUUUAGAUGAAAGAGGAGAAUUCUCCAGCAAAUGCAUUAUAGACUCCUAAUCAUUCAGAUUUAAAUGCUCAGUAGUCAAGGCUAACUUAAGUACUUCCUUCAAUCCUGGAGCACUCACUAUUGAUUUUAAAAGGUGUGUUGGUAUUAGUGGGUUACACAAUAUAAAGUUCCCUUCUCAAGACCAUUAAGUACUCACAUUUAAAUUAUUUUCCUUACAAACCGCAUUCAUUUGAAUUUCAGUGGAAUGUGAACACAGAAAAAAACAAACAACUUUGAGAGUGUCAUUCAAAAUGCCAACAUAAACCAUGACUUUUAUGACUCUUUGGCACUUUUCUCCUUGUUGAUCUCUUUCUUUGCAAGUCACUUUCUGUCCUUGUGUCCCAGACAUGCUAAGCAUGAGAGGACAAACACUUCAAGCAAACGUUGUUACCAUGAAAGACUUCCUAAUGAUUAGGGUCUGAAGCAAAGACCUUUCCCAAUUCUACACCUCUUCAAAUAUAGGAUUUGGAUAGGAUGAGGAUUGGAAAUAUGACAGACAUGGAAUUAGAGAACCAUGCGUCUUGAAGUAUUUAACUUGUUAUGUUUAUGGUGUUUUUUUAAGACAUAAGACACUUGCAAAUAUCAUUGCAUCCUUGUUAUUGUCCACAAACAGAACACAGAACACACUCUGUGCAAGAGGCGCUUCUGUAAAAUUACUACUAGAAGAAAGAAAAGGAUACUUGGAAAUGUACCCUAGUGAUAUUACUACAAAUAAAGAGUUCACAAUUAUGGGACAUCUCUGUAAAAGAAAAUCUCUGUGCUCAAAAUACAUGUGCCAGGCGACUAUUUCUGAGAAACUCAUCCAAAUUUCACAAGGAAUAUUGAUGAUGAUAUGAUGCUUUUCUGAAUCCCCUUUCAGGGUAAUUCUGUCAUGUCCAAACAGAAUUAACAGAAAAAGGGCUGACAAAAAAGUAACUGAAAAGAAAGCUAAGAAAAUCACUAAACAAGACUGUGGGAGAUUAAGACAUCUGCCCUGGUUUUGGCUGGGAUAGUUAAUUUUAUUUUAGUAGCUGGUAGAGUGCUGCAUUUUGAAUGUAGUAUAAAAGGAGUGUUGAUAACACACUGAUGUUUUUAUUGUUGCUAAGUUGUGCUUACCAUAAGCUAAGACAGUUUCCCAUGCUCUGCCAAUGAGCAGGUGCACAAGAAACUGGGAGGGAGUAUGUCCAGGACAGCUGAUGUGAACUAGCCAAAUGGAUGAUGUUCUGUUCCAUACCAGAACAUCAUCCCCAGUAUGUAAACUGAGUUGGCCAGGAGAUGCGAAUUGCUGCUCGGGUGUGGGCUGGCCAUCAGUCAGUGGGUGGUGAGCAAUUGUAUUGUGCAUUGCUAGUUUCUUUUGGGUUCCUGUCACCCCCUUUAAUUAAAAUUAUUAAUAUUGUCAUCAUUAUAAAUAUUAUUAUUAGAUUUUAUUUUGUUUCACUUAAUUACUGCUCUUAUCUCAAGCCACGAGUUUUACUUUUCUUUUUUUUCCAUCUCUCCUCCUCUGCAAGGUGGGGGGCAGGUGGUGAUUGAGCAGCUGCGUGGUGCUUAGCUGCUGCCUGGGAUUAAACCACACCAGGAGCAUUAAACCAGGAGAAGCAAAGCCAAUGGUGGUGGUAGUAAGGUAACUAGCUAUACUAUGCCCAGCAAUUCAAAACAGCAGUGUGUGGAAAAGCACAGCACGUAGAGGAGAUUAGGGUGUAUUCAAACACCCUAAUUGAUAUUCAGAAAUAUGAAACACCAUCAGCAAUGAGCUUCCUUUACACCAAAAUGCAACAGGCUUUUCAAGGUGACAAGUGAUGCUGUAUAGGAAGCAGUUGCUGCCGUGAAAAUCUUCCAAAAGUAAAAGAAGUGCAUUUUUACUUGAAGUACUGCAUUGUGAGAAAAAUCAGACAGUCUAAUUAGGAGUAAAUGAUUAAUUUUGAUAUGUUAUUCCUAACACUAAGUGUGACAUAAAGGAAAUUUAACUGGUAGCUCCAUGAACAGAGGAGUAAAUUGAAUGUAGGUCCUCAUAUCACUGUGUCUUAGUGUUGGUUGGCUUGUGAACUUAAGAAGAUAAGAAACUUUGCCUGCAGUGCUGUGUUUUUAAGGUCUUUCAAAUGGUUUCACCAUUCCCCUAAUAGAGGUUCAGCUCCUGCAGCAGUGUUCCUUUCAACAGGAACACUUGUGGGAUCCUGCAUUUUUUCGCAUCUACUUCAAUGCAACUGGUAACUCCUUAAUCUUUCUGAGGCCCCAAUCUCUCUAGAUUUGAUGAUGGUGUACUGUGGUCAUUGCAUGAAGUGCAAACACCUUCCACAUGCAUACAUGUACGUAUACAUAUAUACAGGGCAUCAUUCCACAUCCCAGAUUUCCUAACAAAUAAUCAAUUUUUGCAGAUUUUGUUUUGAAAUUAUUUUGUUUGUUUGUUUUUACCAACAGUCAGCCGUUUUCUGGCAAGGCUUCCAAACAGAUCCCUGUGUAAGCAGCAGAGAACAAUGGCCAGUCCUGGCACUACACAGGUCAAUAAAAUUGACCAUGAACGGUUCUUGAUCUGCAAACUCAGCUCAGCUGGUGUUGGUACAGCCAAACCCCACAUAGUCUGAAACGAAGCAAAAAUUUCUGGAAGUUGGAGAGCUCCCAGGCUGCCAAAGCAAAAUGUAAAGGAUCUUGCAUCACCACUGAACAAUGGUCACCAGGCCUCCAGUGCUCCCCUCCCUCACUUACAGUUGUUUUUGCCCAUGUCCACAUUUGCCUACAAGCAGGAUAAUCCCUCAAAGUCUAUUUUCACAACUUAGGCAGCAUCUCUCCAAGUUCAGGGCUCAAUAUAUUUGUCUCAUCCACAUGAGAAAACACAUCCUACUGAUCUCCCAAUGCAGUGGCCUAUCCACAUGAAAAAUGACAUGAAGGGAAUGUCCUUCCCUACAGACUUCGAGUAAUACCUCACAGAGCUGUCCCAUAGUGUAAAUGAGCCCAAUACAAUCACAAGGAAGGAACCAUUUGGAGCCCGUAGGCAGUCUGGGGUUUGUUUGGUCAGAUCCAUGGCCUUUUUAAUUAGAGGGUGCUGGAGAGAUGUGAAUCUUACCCCUCUUGCUAUUAAACACUGAAUCCCACUGAUGUCAGUAGAUCUUACAAAAACAGAGUCACAGCCACAGUGAGAUGAGACACUACAUAAGGCCCAGUGGAGAUGGGGCAAAAGUGUUACAAGAAGAUAAUGAAAGACACUCUCUGAGUUUGGAAGCCAUUUACAUAUCUAUUGUAGCAAUGAGAAAAAGCAAAUACUUGCAGUUCUAUCUCUGUUAUACAGCACAAAGCAAUAGAGCUAAUUUGGUUCCCUGUGUGAAAAAUCCAGAAAAACAUUUACUCCUGUUCUCCAGGUUCACUUGCUGUGAUUUAGAAUAUGGCCAUCAUGCAGAUUUGCUGCUCGUUCCAAAAAUGGAAAUAUCCACAUGGGAGUAGCCAGCCUUUCAUGCCAUAUUGAUCAUGAUGACAUUUGAAAGACAAUUUGCUUAACACUAUUGGUAAAAGGACCAAGGAUGCCACGUGAAACCAGAGUGAUGUGCAUUUCCUCAUAGCUGCUUGUGUUUCAGUUAAGAAACAUGAUCUGUUUUCCAGUACAUGUUAUCACUUGCUGUGUUUACAUUAUGUCAAAAAUUAUAAAGAAGCCGAAUCAAAAUUGUAUUAAUCCUGUAUAAUUAAUACUUUAAAUGCAUGUUAUUGUUUGAAUGGUUUGAGCAACAUAAUUCCUGAAGAAGUGCAAACAAAGGACACUGAGCAUGAAGCUCUGAGCAGCACUGGUCUGAAGCUGUGGUCUUGGGCCAGAGCCUGUUUAUAUCCUUCCCGAGAAAAAGGGGUCAUUCUUUUUGACAGCAAAUACCUUUUUUUGGACAACACCAGUUCAUUGCACUGUGGGGAUGUGCUGGUUUUGAUUGAAGCUUGGCUUGGAAGGUUUGUCAUCUUUCACACUGUCAGAAGUUGAUUUGGGGCAACCACUUCAGAUGAUCAAUAAAGCAAUAGCCUAA
Long non-coding RNA from Haemorhous mexicanus (house finch), 10466 nucleotides. RefSeq lists it as uncharacterized. The transcript is spliced from 2 exons. The record is from RefSeq and is a predicted model, not a curated record. NCBI's taxonomy places the organism in Eukaryota, Metazoa, Chordata, Aves, Passeriformes, Fringillidae.